This 874-nucleotide ribosomal RNA is filed under the name uncultured archaeon. RNAcentral describes it as "bacterial SSU rRNA". It matches the Rfam family "Archaeal small subunit ribosomal RNA", at positions 27 to 907 of the family's 1478-position model. The record is from RNAcentral.
CUGCUAUCGGAUUGAUACUAAGCCAUGCGAGUCAUUGUAGUAAUACAAGGCAGACGGCUCAGUAACGCGUAGUCAACCUACCCUAAGGACGGGGAUAACCUCGGGAAACUGAGAAUAAUACCCGAUAGAACAUAGCUCCUGGAAUGGUUUAUGUUUCAAAUAAUUUAUUGCCCUAGGAUGGGACUGCGGCCUAUCAGUUUGUUGGUGAGGUAAUGGCCCACCAAGACUAUUACAGGUACGGGCUCUGAGAGGAGUGGCCCGGAGAUGGGUACUGAGACACGGACCCAGGCCCUAUGGGGCGCAGCAGGCGAGAAAACUUUGCAAUGUGCGAAAGCACGACAAGGUUAAUCCGAGUGGUUUCUGCUAAAGGAACCUUUUGUCAGUCCUAGAAACACUGAUGAAUAAGGGGUGGGCAAGUUCUGGUGUCAGCCGCCGCGGUAAAACCAGCACCUCAAGUGGUCAGGAUGAUUAUUGGGCCUAAAGCAUCCGUAGCCGGCUUUGUAAGUUUUCGGUUAAAUCCAUGCGCUCAACGUAUGGGCUGCCGGGAAUACUGCAAAGCUAGGGAGUGGGAGAGGUAGACGGUACUCGGUAGGAAGGGGUAAAAUCCUUUGAUCUAUUGAUGACCACCUGUGGCGAAGGCGGUCUACCAGAACACGUCCGACGGUGAGGGAUGAAAGCUGGGGGAGCAAACCGGAUUAGAUACCCGGGUAGUCCCAGCUGUAAACUAUGCAAACUCAGUGAUGCAUUGGCUUGAUGCCAAUGCAGUGCUGCAGGGAAGCCGUUAAGUUUGCCGCCUGGGAAGUACGUGCGCAAGUAUGAAACUUAAAGGAAUUGGCGGGGGAGCACCACAAGGGGUGAAGCCUGCGGUUCAAUU